AUUGAACGCUGGCGGCAGGCCUAACACAUGCAAGUCGAACGGUAACAGGAAGAAGCUUGCUUCUUUGCUGACGAGUGGCGGACGGGUGAGUAAUGUCUGGGAAACUGCCUGAUGGAGGGGGAUAACUACUGGAAACGGUAGCUAAUACCGCAUAACGUCGCAAGACCAAAAAGGGGGACCUUCGUGCCUCUUGCCAUCGGAUGUGCCCAGAUGGGAUUAGCUAGUAGGUGGGGUAACGGCUCACCUAGGCGACGAUCCCUAGCUGGUCUGAGAGGAUGACCAGCCACACUGGAACUGAGACACGGUCCAGACUCCUACGGGAGGCAGCAGUGGGGAAUAUUGCACAAUGGGCGCAAGCCUGAUGCAGCCAUGCCGCGUGUAUGAAGAAGGCCUUCGGGUUGUAAAGUACUUUCAGCGGGGAGGAAGGGAGUAAAGUUAAUACCUUUGCUCAUUGACGUUACCCGCAGAAGAAGCACCGGCUAACUCCGUG
This 490-nucleotide ribosomal RNA is filed under the name uncultured bacterium. RNAcentral's name for it is "partial 16S ribosomal RNA". It matches the Rfam family "Bacterial small subunit ribosomal RNA", at positions 30 to 507 of the family's 1533-position model. The record is from RNAcentral.